This is a long non-coding RNA of Pogoniulus pusillus (Red-fronted tinkerbird), 2632 nucleotides long. RefSeq lists it as uncharacterized. The transcript has 3 exons. NCBI's taxonomy places the organism in Eukaryota, Metazoa, Chordata, Aves, Piciformes, Lybiidae. The record is from RefSeq and is a predicted model, not a curated record.
UUCAGAGUAUCUUGGAUUAGAGAGACUGACAUGCUUCUUUUAAAAGAAUUGGAAACUCAUCCUCUCAACCUCCCAGGACCCUGUCUGAAAGCUUAGGAUGACAGGCACUGUGAAUGGACCAGGGGAAUACAAACCACUUCAGUGGGCCUAGGUUCAAGCCAUGUCUUUUUGCUUGCUUUGUACAGGAGCCUCUGCUCAUUGUUGCCAAAAAAGAAAACUCAAAAUCACCCAUACCCCCUGAUGUGCACCACGGUGACAACAACUGGAAACUACAAUACUGAACUGUCAAAAGGUGGCACCAUAGGAAGCAAACACAGCCUUCUCACUGGCCUGUCAGUUAUAUGCCUUUAAACUGCAGCUUAGACCAUACUGCUUAUAUUUGAAAGUAGUAGAAGAAACAUGAAUUGUGAUCCUAAACUGGAAGCAGGCAUAAAUCAACUCAUUGCACAGCAGGAGUAGAGAAACAGAGGACCUGGCCUGCAGUGUUGGUAUUGUCAUAUGUUAUUAGGAAAUCUUAAGAGAGAAACAAAUACUAUCAGAGGCAGAGCAUUUUCUGGCAUCACCCAGUGUGCAUAGUGACUUCAGUUUAAGAAAAAAAAAACCAAACAAAAAACAGGUCUAUGCACACUCUUCCUUCCACAUUUCUAUCUCUUAUUUAGGACAGAUGCUCCAACAUCUUUUUUUUUUUUCUUUCCUCUGUGAUCCAGUGCUUGAAUUGUUGCUGUUUGUAAUUUGGGUGCCUGUCCUGGAAGGCUAACAGGCCUAUAAGAUGUCCUGGUUUGCCCCACCCUUCUGCUGAUGGAGGAAGCAAGGGCAGGAGGAAAACAAAGGCUUAGGCCAUUAUGUCUCCUCCCAAAGUGAUAAACAGGUACCCACAGGUGUUUAGGUACUUGUUGGUGUCUUGCCCAAAUAAGGGUGAGCAAGCCCUGGUUUCACCUAAUAUGGUCAGUUUUGGAAAGGCCAUUUUGAUUGGUGAAUCUCUGUGGCCAAAGGAGCCACUGCACUCAGGCAAGUAAUAUAAAUUGAGCUAAGUUGCAAGCAGCUGAGCUGCUUUUGCCUUACUGCUUUUGCCUUACUGCUUUUGCCAACGUGUCCUGCUCUGCCUCGUGCUUCAGGUCAGUUUAGCCACGAUAUAUUGGGUUUGAAAUACCUGGAAACUUAAGUGCCUCAAGUUUCCCAGGAGAAAGCAUUUAAGUGCCUCGUGAUGUGGCAGGAAGUGCCACUGACAUUGUGCUCUCUGUAUGUCUGCAAGAAAUCCUGCCUGCACCUCUGCAAACCUCUGUGCCAAGAGGAACCAGGAUCACAUCAGAGAAUGUCUGCCUCUUUCCCAGCACCGUGGGAAGAUCAGGAAGCCUCUCAAGGGUCAAGCAGUUCCAACACUGCUACAAAGGAGCCAGGGACCAUCUUGAAAUUUCUACUCCACCGCAACUGAAAGGAAUGAACUGGACCCACUUCAGAGCACCACCACCACGGCAGUCAUGCUGGUGUCUGCUUUUCAGAGUUUCCUUCAAGCACCAGGAGAGGAGGAUGCUACUGGCAGAAACUUAGCCACAUCUACUCCUCCCUUUUUUCAGACAAUCACAGGGGAACAUGCUGUGCUGUGACUCUCUUCACCAUGUGAAAAAGCUCUUGAAAUACCCUGGAGACUCCCACUGUUUAGCUGUGAGUAAGAGUUAGCACAGGCCCUUUGCAGUGGUUGGAAGCUGUACUUUCCAAAGCUGAUAAAAUGAGCACUUCACAGCAAUAAGAGUACCUUUAGGAGAGGAUUGCUAGGUCUAGGGGAAGUUUUCUACUGCUUCAGUCUUCAGUAAAAUAUAGGAUAACUUUAUAAAAGUCGUGUUUUGGUCAUUGAAUUCAGUCUCCAUAAUAAAGGUGACCAAAUAUAUUCAGUAUAAUUUAGUGAAAAUAUCUUGACUUAUUUUGGUUGUAAUGGUGUAUCAUCACUGACAGGUGAUGUUCUAUACCUGGUGUGGAGCCUAGUGGUCUCUUCUGGCUUUAAAGUGCAGGGGAGAGGGGCCAACAAAACUGUCCCCUUGGCUGGAAGAAUGCAUAGCAGCUCUUCACUGUGCAUUCUUCCUCAGUACUUAAUGAGCAUAACAACAUUUCAGAUGGAAGGUCUUUUUCCACAAACAUUUUUCUAUGUGCUCAGUUCCACAUCAGUUCCAGAUGUCCCACUGAUCUAAAUGGAAGUGUCCCUGUAUCUUUAAUCGCACUCAUCAAGCUGCUGGACUCUCCUGCUGGGUAAAAGGUUAAACUGAGAAAUCAUCUCUGUGAUGAGCCACAUCCCGCUGCAUUGCUCUCAGCAUAUGGAUCAAUGCAGACACAACCCUAUCUUAGUUUCUUCUGGAUUGAAUUAUGUGUCAUUUGCUUCAGUACUUAAUGCACAAAAUGUUGCUGUGCCAUUUCUCUUUACAGCAGUUAUUGUUUCAAAGGCCCAAAGAAUAUUUGUUACCAGAAAGAACCCACUAGACAAAGCUUUUAUUUAAUUGUAGUAUAAGAUGUGGAACUAAGAUAGGAAAUCUUUUCCAAAACUAAAAUAACAUUUUAAUUAUUUUUAUUUAUCAUUUGCAUUUCUUUUUGAUUUGUACUUUUUUGGUUACAAUGUCUUCUGUUAAGUACAAAUUAAAAUAAA